Molecule: ribosomal RNA, 858 nt
Filed under: uncultured soil bacterium
Lineage: Bacteria
Description: bacterial SSU rRNA
Rfam family: Bacterial small subunit ribosomal RNA
Source: RNAcentral
UCAUGCUAGUCGAACAAAUCCUAUAAGCGAUAGUAAUACGCCCUGGGGGGAAGUGGCGAAAGGGGCAGUAAGGCAUGGGUAACCUACCCCGGGGACCGGGAUAGCCGCCCUAACGGGCGGGUAAUACCGGGCGACGUAGCGAGGGCGCCUGCCCUGGCUACCAAAGGAGUUUCGCCCCGGGCGGGGCUCAUGUGAUAUUAGCUGGUUGGUGGGGUGACGGCCCACCAAGGCGAAGAUGUCUAGCGGGUGUGCGAGCACGACCCGCGCCACUGGCACUGAGACACUGGCCAGACUCCUACGGGAGGCUGCAGUCGAGGAUCUUCGGCAAUGGGCGCAAGCCUGACCGAGCGACGCCGCGUGCGCGACGAAGGCCUUCGGGUUGUAAAGCGCUGUCGUGGGGGAGGAAAGCCGCGCGAGCGGUCUGACCUAUCCCAGGAGGAAGCACGGGCUAAGUUCGUGCCAGCAGCCGCGGUAAGACGAACCGUGCGAACGUUGUUCGGAAUCACUGGGCUUAAAGGGCGCGUAGGCGGUCCCCCCAGUCCGGGGUGAAAGCGUCCGGCUCAACCGGACCAGGGCCUUGGAUACUGGGGGACUCGAGGGAGGUAGGGGCAGGUGGAACUUCCGGUGGAGCGGUGAAAUGCGUUGAUAUCGGAAGGAACGCCGGUGGCGAAAGCGGCCUGCUGGACCUCUGUCUGACGCUGAGGCGCGAAAGCUAGGGGAGCGAACGGGAUUAGAUACCCCGGUAGUCCUAGCCCUAAACGAUGGGUACCAGGUUGUGGACCGGACAUGGGUUUCCCAGCCGGAGCAAAAGUGUUCAGUACCCCGCCUGGGGAGUAUGGUCGCAAGGCUGAAACUCAA